RNAcentral lists this ribosomal RNA (424 nucleotides) under uncultured bacterium. RNAcentral describes it as "bacterial SSU rRNA". It matches the Rfam family "Bacterial small subunit ribosomal RNA", at positions 376 to 793 of the family's 1533-position model. The record is from RNAcentral.
CGCAAGCCUGAUGCAGCCAUGCCGCGUGUAUGAAGAAGGCCUUCGGGUUGUAAAGACUUUCAGCAGUGAGGAAGGUGGGUAUGGUUAAUAGCAUAUUCAUUUGACGUUAGCUGCAGAAGAAGCACCGGCUAACUCCGUGCCAGCAGCCGCGGUAAUACGGAGGGUGCGAGCGUUAAUCGGAAUUACUGGGCGUAAAGCGCAUGCAGGUGGUUUGUUAAGUCAGAUGUGAAAGCCCGGGGCUCAACCUCGGAAUUGCAUUUGAAACUGGCAAACUAGAGUACUGUAGAGGGGGUAGAAUUUCAGGUGUAGCGGUGAAAUGCGUAGAGAUCUGAAGGAAUACCGGUGGCGAAGGCGGCCCCCUGGACAGAUACUGACACUCAGAUGCGAAAGCGUGGGGAGCAAACAGGAUUAGAUACCCUGGUAG